Molecule: long non-coding RNA, 665 nt
Organism: Acipenser ruthenus (sterlet)
Lineage: Eukaryota; Metazoa; Chordata; Actinopteri; Acipenseriformes; Acipenseridae
Exons: 3
Source: RefSeq, a predicted model, not a curated record
ACUGGAUGGCUGAGUAGAAGGAUGCAGGAGGUGUACCCUGCUGCUGAGCCGUCACUGAAAGGUAAAGACAAAUGAGAUUAUGGCUGGAAUUAAUCUGAAAGGGAAAGGUGGAAAGAAGCCAUUUGUGGAAUCAGACAUUUGCAAAAUUGUUACAGAAAGUGUGACGAAGACACAGAAGACUACAGAGGUAUCAGGCAUUGGGAAAGGUCCUGAAGUAUGCGCCUGAUAGGCGAGCUGGAGGUGGCAGCCACAAGAAUUAAGGGACAGACUGACGGGAUAAUAGGCUUGAUUUGGAUGGUGGUGUCUGCCUGGGAAUUUGGCUUUUUGCAAUCCUCUCAUUGCCCUGUCAGCCAAUCAAUUGACUGCUCAGGUGGACACCACCGUUAUAAAACCUGCCUGCCUUUGUUUGUCAGGGGGGGUUGUUUGUGGGUUUUUGUUCCUGUUGUAAAUCUGUAUUUUUAUAUUUUUCAAAGUAUAACUACUUAAAGGGCCAAAGCCUUAUUUUUUUGGUUAUUAUUAUUAUUAUUUAUUUCUUAGCAGACGCCCUUAUCCAGGGCGACUUACAAUCGCAAGCAAAUACAAAUACAUUCAAGUGUUACAAUAUAAGUCAUACGUUAAAUAAGAUGUUGGUUCAUGUGCAUGACAAUUGUAGUCUCGACUAUCUC